Molecule: transfer RNA, 76 nt
Filed under: Chloroflexota bacterium
Lineage: Bacteria; Bacillati; Chloroflexota
Description: Chloroflexi bacterium tRNA-Asn
Rfam family: tRNA
About the family: Transfer RNA (tRNA) molecules are approximately 80 nucleotides in length. Their secondary structure includes four short double-helical elements and three loops (D, anti-codon, and T loops).
Source: RNAcentral
UUGUCUGUAGUUCAGUUGGUAGAACAUCUGGCUGUUAACCAGAAUGUCGCAUGUUCGAGUCAUGCCAGGCAAGCCA